RNAcentral lists this non-coding RNA (956 nucleotides) under Xenocypris fangi. RNAcentral's name for it is "12S ribosomal RNA". It matches the Rfam family "Bacterial small subunit ribosomal RNA". The record is from RNAcentral. Lineage: Eukaryota; Metazoa; Chordata; Actinopteri; Cypriniformes; Xenocyprididae.
AAAGGCAUGGUCCCGACCUUAUUAUCAGCUCUUACCCAACUUACACAUGCAAGUCUCCGCAAUCCCGUGAGUAUGCCCUUAAUCCCCUACCCGGGGACGAGGAGCGGGCAUCAGGCACAAAUUUUAGCCCAAGACGCCUGGCCAAGCCACACCCCCAAGGGAAUUCAGCAGUGAUAAACAUUAAGCCAUAAGUGAAAACUUGACUCAGUCAGGGUUAAGAGGGCCGGUAAAACUCGUGCCAGCCACCGCGGUUAAACGAGAGGCCCCAGUUGAUAGCACCACGGCGUAAAGGGUGGUUAAGGAAAGCAAGACAAUUUUUUAAAGCCAAAUGGCCCUUUGGCCGUCAUACGCUUCUAGGUGUCCGAAGCCCAAUAUACGAAAGUAGCUUUAACAAAGCCCACCUGACCCCACGAAAACUGAGAAACAAACUGGGAUUAGAUACCCCACUAUGCUCAGCCAUAAACCUAGACGUCCAACUACAAUUAGACGUCCGCCCGGGUACUACGAGCAUUAGCUUGAAACCCAAAGGACCUGACGGUGCCUCAGACCCCCCUAGAGGAGCCUGUUCUAGAACCGAUAACCCCCGUUAAACCUCACCACUUCUAGCCAUCCCAGCCUAUAUACCGCCGUCGUCAGCUUACCCUGUGAAGGUAAUAAAAGUAAGCAAAAUGGGCACAACCCAGAACGUCAGGUCGAGGUGUAGCGCACGAAGUGGGAAGAAAUGGGCUACAUUUUCUAUCACAGAACACUACGAACAUGCAACAUGAAAUAGUGCUUGAAGGAGGAUUUAGUAGUAAAAAGGAAGCAGAGUGUCCUUUUGAACCCGGCUCUGAGGCGCGUACACACCGCCCGUCACUCUCCCCUGUCAAAACGCAACAAAGAUACUUAACACCAAAGCACUGACAAGGGGAGGCAAGUCGUAACAUGGUAAGUGUACCGGAAGGUGCACUUGGAUU